Molecule: non-coding RNA, 1041 nt
Organism: Aegilops tauschii subsp. strangulata
Lineage: Eukaryota; Viridiplantae; Streptophyta; Magnoliopsida; Poales; Poaceae
Source: RefSeq, a predicted model, not a curated record
ACCCACCUGGUUAACUGCAUACAGGAGGAAGCUCGUACUAGUAACAUCUUACCUGUAACAUAAACUCCUCCUAUCUCGGGGCUGAGCAACCCUUGCCCCUCUCUACUCCAAAGCAUCCUCGCUAGUGCCUGCCGGUGUAAUUUCUUCUCCUUCUAUCAAUGGAAUGACAUGCGUAAAAACCCAUGAACAUUUUCAUUAAUAAAAAAAUGGGGCAAGAGUUCUAAAAGAAAAAAACUGAGCCGAACCGUGAAUCUUCGCUCCCGUGGCUCGCGGGGAGCGGCGCCGCUGGUAGCCCCACGGAUCCAGGGAGCAGCCGCCGCCGCCAUGUCCGGUUGCCCCUGCUCCACCUCCAUCUCCUCCUCUCCACUCUCCCUCCUGCCUUCCAGUUCCGCCCCCUCUACUCCGAGAUGCAGUAGGGUCGCCUUCUCCUCCUCGUGCGGCCCACGGAGGAGCGGGAUGCGACCGAGAGGCACGCGCGAUUGCAGCAGCAAGGAUGAGAAGGCGGAGGCUGAGGAGAAGGAGGGAGAGCCGGCGUUCAACCUGUUCGGGUUCGUGGAGUCGUGGAGCCGCAGCGCCAUCCAGGUGCCGUGGAGUCGCCCGCUCAGGACGGCAAUGUCGGCCAGAUGCUCUACACGACAGAGGACAAAGAGAGGGAGUAUGGCAGCAAUAGCAUGAGAUGAGGAGAGCUGGGAUGGUUGGUGAGGGAAACAGGUUCUUAUGGUUUGACAUGGGCAUUGAAGAACUCGAGCAAACUUCUUAAGGUAGCAAUUCUUAACCGCCCACUUACUGUUUCUUCUCCAGUGCCUGGAGUCUUAAAGCAGCUCAGGUUACCACUUUUUGGCGAAUUUACCUGCCAAAAUGCUAUUUUGGCCGAGAGAUUCAUUGAAGCAGGUAGCUAAUUUGUAUCCUUGUCGCAGAAAUCUGUUUAUUAUACCAUGCCGAUUUUGUUAGCGCUAAACCUUUUUUUUCUGGAAGUCUUGAAACAAGAAAGUAACUUUUGUGAUGAGCAUUUCCUUUAAACAUGGUAUUUUCUUCCUGUUA